This 253-nucleotide ribosomal RNA is filed under the name uncultured bacterium. RNAcentral's name for it is "partial 16S ribosomal RNA". It matches the Rfam family "Bacterial small subunit ribosomal RNA", at positions 524 to 776 of the family's 1533-position model. The record is from RNAcentral.
UACGUAGGGGGCAAGCGUUGUCCGGAAUCAUUGGGCGUAAAGCGCGUGUAGGCGGCCAGAAAAGUCCGCUGUGAAAACUCGAGGCUCAACUUCGAGCUGUCGGUGGAAACUUUCUGGCUAGAGUCCGGAAGAGGAGAAUGGAAUUCCUGGUGUAGCGGUGAAAUGCGCAGAUAUCAGGAAGAACACCCGUGGCGAAGGCGGUUCUCUGGGCCUUACCUGACGCUCAGGCACGAAAGCUAGGGGAGCGAACAGG